Vicugna pacos (alpaca) is the source of this 416-nucleotide non-coding RNA. The record is from RefSeq and is a predicted model, not a curated record. Lineage: Eukaryota; Metazoa; Chordata; Mammalia; Artiodactyla; Camelidae.
AUUAAAGCCACACCGCUUAGGAAGAAUCAGGAAGGUGUCCUGAGAGAUCACACGUAUGGGAGAGGAAUCUCACCUUUGUAAGAGCCGUUGGGAAGAGAAGGGGUGCAGCCCCCGCGCACCGAUUAGAACACGUGGCUGGUGCAUGAACCCUGAAACGAGGAGUGAAUGAAGGCAGGAAUUACUGGAAGGGAGGUCAGGGUAAGUCAUGUCAUAUUUAUUUCUUAUUUUUGAAGUGUGCAGAAUACAUUGUGGUAAACUCAUUCAGGAACUCUCCGGGGCUCGUGUCUCCGAUAAAAUUAGACAAAUUGAGUCUUUCAGGGGAAAAUAAAACGCUUGCUAUAGCCGUGCUAUGCAGAAAUACGCCACUUGUCCCUGACAUGUUGAGACCCUAGUUUUUCCGCUGCCAGCCACCCUGC